This 320-nucleotide ribosomal RNA is filed under the name Serratia marcescens. RNAcentral describes it as "partial 23S ribosomal RNA". It matches the Rfam family "Bacterial large subunit ribosomal RNA", at positions 1 to 357 of the family's 2925-position model. The record is from RNAcentral. RNAcentral also lists the same sequence under 4 other names. Lineage: Bacteria; Pseudomonadati; Pseudomonadota; Gammaproteobacteria; Enterobacterales; Yersiniaceae.
GGUUAAGUGACUAAGCGUACACGGUGGAUGCCUAGGCAGUCAGAGGCGAUGAAGGGCGUGCUAAUCUGCGAAAAGCGUCGGUAAGGUGAUAUGAACCGUUAUAACCGGCGAUACCCGAAUGGGGAAACCCAGUGUGUUUCGACACACUAUCAUGUCAUGAAUACAUAGUGGCAUGAGGCGAACCGGGGGAACUGAAACAUCUAAGUACCCCGAGGAAAAGAAAUCAACCGAGAUUCCCCCAGUAGCGGCGAGCGAACGGGGAGGAGCCCAGAACCUGAAUCGGCUUGUGUGUUAGUGGAAGCGUCUGGAAAGUCGCGCAG